This is a long non-coding RNA of Daphnia pulicaria, 1202 nucleotides long. RefSeq lists it as uncharacterized. The transcript is spliced from 3 exons. The record is from RefSeq and is a predicted model, not a curated record. Lineage: Eukaryota; Metazoa; Arthropoda; Branchiopoda; Diplostraca; Daphniidae.
GAGACUGAUUUGCGGCCAAUGCGGUCAUCCGCGACGGUGUUGCUUAUUAGGGAGACAUCCCACUUUCCCAAUAUUAUUUUUAACUUUCGAUUUCGUACGUUUGUUACCAUCGCAAAAUCAGUUUCUUUCCUACGGUUCUAUAAACAGAUACUUGUAAAAUGAGAAACCAUAGUAUCGCAUUAUUUUGGAUAAAGAUAAUUUUGGCUGGUGUUCUUGUGUGCCUUUAAAAUUGUUAUAAUAAAAGAAAAAAGGGGAACAAGGCAACAACUGAGGUCUUCUCCUAUUUAAUAAUCUAGGCCUAUAAUUUUUACCGAGUCUCCUCUUGUCUAUGGAUGCAACAUUUUUGUUUUAAAUUUAGCGGGAAGGCUGAGAGGGGAUAGAAUUUAAAUUUGGCAACGGUGCAUUCUUACACGAAAAAUAGAACAACAAAUUAAAUGACAAAAAUGUGAUCGUCGUGUCGUGUCUGAGUCUCCCAAACUCUUCCAUCUUUUCCAUCAUCAUACCUAUAGAUUUGAAUCCUGAGCCAGCCAUCAUCAACAAGAACAACAAAUGCAAGUUUCGCUUUGUACUGGUAUCCACUCGUCAUCGGCAACAGUCCCAAUGUCCCAUCUUCAUAGAUACCAGAUAAAACAUCGUCCUGUUUCCUUUCAUUGAAGGAUCCAUCGACGUCGGGCGAUUCAUCUCUUCUUCCCCUCCUUUAAAUCCCAUCUCUUUCCUCGUGUACGCCCAUGUGAAUGUGGGUGUAUUCACGAGGACCCCCUUACUUCUAUCCCGUGUAUGGCGUAUUUAGAAACUUUUCUGUGGCUGGAGGAAUUGGAGAUGCCUGGCUGUUUUUCCCAGGUUAAAAGGUAGGGGAAAUUUGAAUUAUUUUCCCUUUAUUUUGGUUGCGUCUUUUUGUGAGAGAAAAUCUUUUUUCUUUUUUUUCUCGUUCCUUUGGGUCAGCAUAGUUUCGACACAUCGGGACCGUGUCAAAACUGUGGGCUAAGGGCAAAAAAAACACGACUGUAAUCGCAUUAGGAUUAAUUCUGUCUUUUUUGUGAGUCAUCUUUUACUUUUCAACUUGGAAAAUAGGGAAAAGCUGAGGUCGUGAAUAAAACUCCCCUAUUGUACCUUUUAAUCUAGCCCUUACUGAACCCACGAAUAGCCUGUUGUUAUUGUUCGUGCAGAAAAACCCGUUUUAUCUUACUGUGGUUCUCUGCAAC